Molecule: small nucleolar RNA, 100 nt
Filed under: Erythranthe guttata (spotted monkey flower)
Lineage: Eukaryota; Viridiplantae; Streptophyta; Magnoliopsida; Lamiales; Phrymaceae
Description: Mimulus guttatus (spotted monkey flower) Small nucleolar RNA Z122
Rfam family: Small nucleolar RNA Z122
About the family: Z122 is a member of the C/D class of snoRNA which contain the C (UGAUGA) and D (CUGA) box motifs. Most of the members of the box C/D family function in directing site-specific 2'-O-methylation of substrate RNAs.
Source: Rfam by way of RNAcentral
UUUGGGAAAUGAUGAUUAUAUAUCGAUUUUUUCAGAGGCUCAGUUGAUUAAUACCUGCUGCUGCUAUUCUGAUCAUUUUGCACGUCAGUCUGAUCCCAUU